This 622-nucleotide ribosomal RNA is filed under the name Kocuria sp. RC16-6. RNAcentral describes it as "bacterial SSU rRNA". It matches the Rfam family "Bacterial small subunit ribosomal RNA", at positions 95 to 728 of the family's 1533-position model. The record is from RNAcentral. Lineage: Bacteria; Bacillati; Actinomycetota; Actinomycetes; Micrococcales; Micrococcaceae.
GUGGCGAACGGGUGAGUAAUACGUGAGUAACCUGCCCUUGACUCUGGGAUAAGCCCGGGAAACUGGGUCUAAUACUGGAUGCUACAUGUCACCGCAUGGUGGUGUGUGGAAAGGGUUUACUGGUCUUGGAUGGGCUCACGGCCUAUCAGCUUGUUGGUGAGGUAAUGGCUCACCAAGGCGACGACGGGUAGCCGGCCUGAGAGGGUGACCGGCCACACUGGGACUGAGACACGGCCCAGACUCCUACGGGAGGCAGCAGUGGGGAAUAUUGCACAAUGGGCGAAAGCCUGAUGCAGCGACGCCGCGUGAGGGAUGACGGCCUUCGGGUUGUAAACCUCUUUCAGCAGGGAAGAAGCCACAAGUGACGGUACCUGCAGAAGAAGCGCCGGCUAACUACGUGCCAGCAGCCGCGGUAAUACGUAGGGCGCAAGCGUUGUCCGGAAUUAUUGGGCGUAAAGAGCUCGUAGGCGGUUUGUCGCGUCUGCUGUGAAAGCCCGGGGCUUAACCCCGGGUGUGCAGUGGGUACGGGCAGACUAGAGUGCAGUAGGGGAGACUGGAAUUCCUGGUGUAGCGGUGGAAUGCGCAGAUAUCAGGAGGAACACCGAUGGCGAAAGGCAGGUCU